AAAUGACAGGUUUUUUUGACAGUUGUAGAAAAAAGAUAUUUUUAAAAGCUCCUUUAAGAGUGCAAAUUUAUAAAGAGAGGAUACCUAACGUUGCACUACCACCUGAACCGGUUCUAACAAGGUGGGGUACCUGGUUAAAUGCUGUUUCAUUUUAUCAUACUCAUUUUGAGCAGAUAAAGGAGGUGGUGUUACGUUUUGAUGCAGGUGUUGCAGUAUCAAUAAAAAAUGCACAACAUUUUUUUAAAUCUCCAAAUGUUAAAAACGAAAUUGUUUAUAUUCAUUCACAUUUUAAAAUAAUUUCUGAUACAAUCACGAAAAUAGAAGCAAGAAGCAUGCCAUUAUCGGAGUCAUUAGAAUUAAUUGAAAACUUAACAACUUCCUUACGUACAGCUCCUGGACCUGUAGCAAAACUUGCAUAUAAUAAGUUAAAAAAUACUCUAAUAAAAAAUCCAGGCUAUGAACUCUUGUCAUCAAUUAAAAAAAUAUUUUGUGGUGGGGAAGCGGAACUUCCCUUAAAUUUUCAAACAAAGGAUGUACCUAUUUUUAAGUAUGCCCCAAUAACUUCAUGUGAGGUUGAGCGAUCCUUUUCCAUGUAUAAACACAUACUUAGUGAUAAAAGACACAAUCUUUCAGAAAAAAACAUCGAAAUGUUGAUGGUCACACAUAGUUUUAGUAAAUCACAGUGUUAGAAUAUGCAAAUUAUGUAUAUAGUAGCAUUUUAAUGUUCUUUUAUGUUUAAUAAAAAAUAUGCCUAUA
Molecule: long non-coding RNA, 756 nt
Organism: Photinus pyralis (common eastern firefly)
Lineage: Eukaryota; Metazoa; Arthropoda; Insecta; Coleoptera; Lampyridae
Exons: 2
Source: RefSeq, a predicted model, not a curated record